AAGCUGGGCGCCUUCUCCUCUCCUCCUCACUCCCUCAUGCAAGCACCAGAGAAGAAACAUCUCAUCUUCUUCUCUUCCUUCCCCAUGGCUGCCCUCUCCUCUUCCAUAUGUUUUCCUCUCCUUUCUCCACAACAACAGUAGCCAUGCGUGCCCUCUACUUCUCUUCUCUCCCUCAUGCAUACACCGGAGAAGGAGAACCUAUAUCUCCUCCCCAUCCUCUACCAUGGACGCCCCUUCUCUCCCCUCCAAAAUCCUCUCAAUUCUCUCCAUCAAAGAGCAGUGUUCUCACUAUUGCAAUUUGUUUCACCGCUGCACCAUUCAUUUUGAAGCCUAAACAUGUUGAUUCCGUUGUCGUCAUCCUCUUCUAUAUAGAGCUCAUGGGUUACAACCAAGGAAUCAUUUUCACCGUCCCGGGUGAAUGCUUGCUGCCGACAUCAAAAUCAAAGAUCAACCCAUCACCCACACUUCAUCUUGCAGCAACGUCACCCUCAUCAUCUUAAGGUUAUCUUGCCGCUGAUUGUCAGCGUCAAUUCCCCAUCGAGGUCAUUGCCUGCUAUAUAUAAUCCCCAUUUUAGAACCCACACUUUCCUCUCUGUAAUAUAUGUUGAUCUCUACUGCAAUUUUUAUGUCAUAAAUCAUGAUUCCAUCGAUUAUAUGAUGUUAUAUUUCUAAGUGUGUUGCUGUCCCGUGCAAACAGCAGCUGCACGGUUGGUUGGCAUGCAUGUUCUCAGUAAGUAUAAUCUCAUUCACAAAUUUCUUUGAA
Molecule: long non-coding RNA, 763 nt
Organism: Sorghum bicolor (sorghum)
Lineage: Eukaryota; Viridiplantae; Streptophyta; Magnoliopsida; Poales; Poaceae
Exons: 3
Source: RefSeq, a predicted model, not a curated record